GGUCGGAGCCGAUCUUCGGAUCGGUGACGGCGUGCCUUUUGCAUAAUGAGCCGGCGAGUUAAUCUCUGUAGCAAGCUUAAGCGGUACCCCCGCGUAGGCGCAGCGAAAGCGAGUCUUAAAAGGGCGACACAGUUGCAGGGAUUAGACGCGAAACCAGGUGAUCUACCCAUGGCCAGGUUGAAGGGGCGGUAACACGCCCUGGAGGACCGAACCCGUAAUCGUUGAAAAGAUUUGGGAUGAGCUGUGGGGAGGAGUCAAAGUCUAAUCAUACCUGGAGAUAUCUCGUUCUCUUCGAAAUAGUUUUUGGGCUAGCCUCACGUUAUACCCUGCAGGGGUAGAGCGACUGAUUGGGACUGGGGGGCACCAGCCUACCCACCCCAGCCAAACUCCGAAUACUGCAGGGCUCUAUCGUGGGAGUCAGACCGCGGGGGAUAAUCUUCGUGGUCGAGAGGGAAACAACCCAGACCGCC
RNAcentral lists this ribosomal RNA (470 nucleotides) under Trieres chinensis. RNAcentral describes it as "partial Bacterial large subunit ribosomal RNA". It matches the Rfam family "Bacterial large subunit ribosomal RNA", at positions 573 to 1036 of the family's 2925-position model. The record is from RNAcentral. Lineage: Eukaryota; Bacillariophyta; Thalassiosirophyceae; Eupodiscales; Parodontellaceae.